GCAAUGCCGCGUGACAGGAUGAAGGUCCUUCGGGUUGUAAACUGCUUUUGUACGGAACGAAAGGCUCUGGUUAAUACCUGGGUCUAUGACGGUACGUAAGAAUAAGCACCGGCUAACUACGUGCCAGCAGCCGCGGUAAUACGUAGGGUGCAAGCGUUAAUCGGAAUUACUGGGCGUAAAGCGUGCGCAGGCGGUUUUGUAAGUCAGAUGUGAAAUCCCCCGGGCUCAACCUGGGAACUGCAUUUGAGACUGCCAAGCUGGAGUUUGGCAGAGGGGGGUGGAAUUCCACGUGUAGCAGUGAAAUGCGUAGAGAUGUGGAGGAACACCGAUGGCGAAGGCAGCCCCCUGGGCCAAUACUGACGCUCAUGCACGAAAGCGUGGGGAGCAAACAGGAUUAGAUACCCUGGUAGUCCACGCCCUAAACGAUGUCAACUAGGUGUUGGGAGGGUUAAACCUUUUAGUGCCGUAGCUAACGCGUGAAGUUGACCGCCUGGGGAGUACGGCCGCAAGGCUAAAACUCAAAGGAAUUGACGGG
This 535-nucleotide ribosomal RNA is filed under the name uncultured bacterium. Its description in RNAcentral is "bacterial SSU rRNA". It matches the Rfam family "Bacterial small subunit ribosomal RNA", at positions 391 to 917 of the family's 1533-position model. The record is from RNAcentral.